This is a long non-coding RNA of Polypterus senegalus (gray bichir), 1627 nucleotides long. RefSeq lists it as uncharacterized. The record is from RefSeq and is a predicted model, not a curated record. NCBI's taxonomy places the organism in Eukaryota, Metazoa, Chordata, Cladistia, Polypteriformes, Polypteridae. The transcript is spliced from 2 exons.
AGCACUUAUAGAUUAAAUACUGUAUAUAUAUUCAUAAACCAGCAUUAUUUGUUAUAAAUAUGCAAAUUAGCCUUUUACAUUGUAUUACUGCCGAAUUCUUUUUUGCUACUAGUAAUUCCUAAUCCGUACAGAAUGACGCAUGCCUAAUCAGCCUAUAUAAAAUGUUUGAUAUAUAUUUAUAUUUAUUCAUAUUCACAUAUUGUAUAUAUGAAAAUAUAAAAUGUGUGCGUAUACGUGACAAAUGCGUAUGAUAACCCAAAAGAGCAAAAUUUAAGUAGGAAACAUUCGGCAAAAAAGAUAACACUUAUACCAUUGUAUGUUCUUCCACAAAAAAAAAGAUACACCGUGUGUAUCUGUAACACAAGGCGGAAGAAUUUUAUGAAAUACUAUUCGACUAAUGAAUGACUAAAAUACAUUCACAAUUUAAAAUGAUUACAGAAUAUUUACUAUGUAAUGUAAUUUAACUGCAGGUUUAAUUUAAAUGUAAAGUUAGAAACAACUGAUAGUACUGAAAAAUAAAAUACAACUUUCAACCAAUUUAAACGAAUAAACGAAAAUCAAAGCAAAUGAAAAUACACUGGAACAUUAAGACAAUAAUCGUGACAUGUAAUUUUGCUGGAAUAUACAGAUGUAAUGCACCUUUUAAUAUAAAAGGCUCGUAUCAAGCAAAGAUCAAAUAACGGAUACGCAUAGAUAAGCAAAUGUUAGUUGAUAUGAUUUGGAUUGAAUUGAGUAGUCUUAGUUAAAACAAUAUUAUUAAAGUGGGUAGUGUAUGUACACGUUUAUUGGCGUCAGCGUUUUGUGUACUGUAAUGAAAUUCUGUAAAUUGUGCGUGAGUGAUGAACCACAGAUACACAGGUAUUUAUCCUGUGAAUGAAUUCCGCGUCUCUUUUUAGUAUCUCUGCAAAAAACAAAGGUUUGCAGUUGUUAAGAACUAGUAAAAAUCAGAAUCUGUCGAUGAUCCGUGUUUUCACACACACACACACACACAACACACUCUCACAUACACACUGACUUGCUAAAACACGCAAUUCGAUAAUCUGUUAGAUUUAGAGAAGAGAGAUAGAAGGCGCGAGAUGACAAUAAGAGCCCGUAAAAGAAGCGCUAGUGUGAUGCGCGGAAGUGCUAACGACCUCAUCAUCGGCAGCUUUAGCAUAUGAAAAAGUAGGAAAUGAGAGUUGCGGACGCAUGUAAAGCAGCGAUUCACGGCGAAGAAGCCCUGAAGUUGCUGAUCAAGAAGAAGAUCUUUGACCCUCUGCCAGCUGCACCAACCUCUCUGUCCUUUGCUUCUCUCACUCCACUAUCUUUUAAAAGGACAUCCACCAGGAUCAAAAAGUGUCUGUCCUAACCCAAAGUUGAAGAUCAUUUGACUAAGAGUAUUGUCCCUUUCACAAUGCAGGUAGCGCCAAGUGAAUCCUUCGACAGAAAAUGGGGACCUCCUGUUUGGAUCUCCAACACUUCAUCAGUUUUCUAUUUGUUGCAUUUGCAUUAUUUCAUAUCUUACACUCCUUUAACUCCUCUUUGGUGGGUCAGUGUAAUUUCACCAUUGGCAGUCUACAAUUUCACUAUGUGUCACUGUGUGAGAUUUUAUAAAUGCUGUUUAAUUAAAUGAAUCUUAAUAUUACUA